Molecule: small nuclear RNA, 195 nt
Organism: Monomorium pharaonis (pharaoh ant)
Lineage: Eukaryota; Metazoa; Arthropoda; Insecta; Hymenoptera; Formicidae
Product: U2 spliceosomal RNA
Exons: 1
Source: RefSeq, a predicted model, not a curated record
AUCGCUUCUCGGCUCUAUUGAGCUAAGAUCAAAAGUGUAGUAUCUGUUCUUAUCAGCUUAAUAUCUGAUACAAUCCCCAUAGGGGAUUCAGAAUAUUAACCUGAUUUUUGGAACAAGGCGGGAGUAAGGAGCUCGCUCCUUCCCCGCUAACGGUCAACCCGACGUUGCAGUAAAGUUGGGACUGGCCUUUAUUAA